CAGCACCUCAAGUGGUCAGGAUGAUUAUUGGGCCUAAAGCAUCCGUAGCCGGCUCUGUAAGUGUUCGGUUAAAUCUGUACGCUCAACGUACAGGCUGCCGGGAAUACUGCAGAGCUAGGGAGUGGGAGAGGUAGACGGUACUCGGUAGGAAGGGGUAAAAUCCUUUGAUCUAUUGAUGACCACCUGUGGCGAAGGCGGUCUACCAGAACACGUCCGACGGUGAGGGAUGAAAGCUGGGGGAGCAAACCGGAUUAGAUACCCGAGUAGUCC
RNAcentral lists this ribosomal RNA (270 nucleotides) under uncultured archaeon. RNAcentral describes it as "partial 16S ribosomal RNA". It matches the Rfam family "Archaeal small subunit ribosomal RNA", at positions 477 to 747 of the family's 1478-position model. The record is from RNAcentral.